RNAcentral lists this ribosomal RNA (570 nucleotides) under Streptomyces albus. Its description in RNAcentral is "bacterial SSU rRNA". It matches the Rfam family "Bacterial small subunit ribosomal RNA", at positions 282 to 862 of the family's 1533-position model. The record is from RNAcentral. Lineage: Bacteria; Bacillati; Actinomycetota; Actinomycetes; Kitasatosporales; Streptomycetaceae.
GGUAGCCGGCCUGAGAGGGCGACCGGCCACACUGGGACUGAGACACGGCCCAGACUCCUACGGGAGGCAGCAGUGGGGAAUAUUGCACAAUGGGCGAAAGCCUGAUGCAGCGACGCCGCGUGAGGGAUGACGGCCUUCGGGUUGUAAACCUCUUUCAGCAGGGAAGAAGCGAAAGUGACGGUACCUGCAGAAGAAGCGCCGGCUAACUACGUGCCAGCAGCCGCGGUAAUACGUAGGGCGCAAGCGUUGUCCGGAAUUAUUGGGCGUAAAGAGCUCGUAGGCGGCUUGUCACGUCGGUUGUGAAAGCCCGGGGCUUAACCCCGGGUCUGCAGUCGAUACGGGCAGGCUAGAGUUCGGUAGGGGAGAUCGGAAUUCCUGGUGUAGCGGUGAAAUGCGCAGAUAUCAGGAGGAACACCGGUGGCGAAGGCGGAUCUCUGGGCCGAUACUGACGCUGAGGAGCGAAAGCGUGGGGAGCGAACAGGAUUAGAUACCCUGGUAGUCCACGCCGUAAACGGUGGGCACUAGGUGUGGGCAACAUUCCACGUUGUCCGUGCCGCAGCUAACGCAUUA